This 253-nucleotide ribosomal RNA is filed under the name uncultured bacterium. Its description in RNAcentral is "partial 16S ribosomal RNA". It matches the Rfam family "Bacterial small subunit ribosomal RNA", at positions 524 to 776 of the family's 1533-position model. The record is from RNAcentral.
UACGAAGGGGGCUAGCGUUGUUCGGAAUUACUGGGCGUAAAGCGCGCGCAGGCGGCUAUCCAAGUCAGUGGUGAAAGCCCGGAGCUCAACUCCGGAACUGCCAAUGAAACUGUUUAGCUUGAGGACGAGAGAGGUGAGUGGAAUUCCCAGUGUAGAGGUGAAAUUCGUAGAUAUUGGGAAGAACACCGGUGGCGAAGGCGGCUCACUGGCUCGUAUCUGACGCUCAGGCGCGACAGCGUGGGGAUCAAACAGG